RNAcentral lists this ribosomal RNA (510 nucleotides) under uncultured bacterium. Its description in RNAcentral is "bacterial SSU rRNA". It matches the Rfam family "Bacterial small subunit ribosomal RNA", at positions 19 to 518 of the family's 1533-position model. The record is from RNAcentral.
CUGGCUCAGGAUGAACGCUAGCUACAGGCUUAACACAUGCAAGUCGAGGGGCAUCAUGGAGUUGCUUGCAAACUCUGAUGGCGACCGGCGCACGGGUGAGUAACGCGUAUCCAACCUUCCCUAUAGUAGAGGAUAGCCCGGCGAAAGUCGGAUUAAUACUCUAUGUUUUCCGUUGCAGACAUCUAAGAUGGAACAAAGGCUUGCCGCUAUAGGAUGGGGAUGCGUCUGAUUAGGUAGUCGGCGGGGUAACGGCCCACCGAGCCAUCGAUCAGUAGGGGUUCUGAGAGGAAGGUCCCCCACAUUGGAACUGAGACACGGUCCAAACUCCUACGGGAGGCAGCAGUGAGGAAUAUUGGUUAAUGGGCGAGAGCCUGAACCAGCCAAGUAGCCGUGCAGGACGACGGCCCUAUGGGUUGUAAACUGCUUUUAUGCGGGGAUAAAGUUCACUACGUGUAGUGUUUUGUAGGUACCGCAUGAAUAAGGACCGGCUAAUUCCGUGCCAGCCGCUGC